RNAcentral lists this unclassified non-coding RNA (335 nucleotides) under Hevea brasiliensis (rubber tree). Lineage: Eukaryota; Viridiplantae; Streptophyta; Magnoliopsida; Malpighiales; Euphorbiaceae. The record is from RNAcentral.
GCAACUAUUGGUCAGGUCCUGGUGAUUUCUCAGAUCUCGAGGUCGAGCGAAGGGAAAGAAAAGGCUGGAAGGUGAAGAUACAUGAUCUUUCUGGCUCGGCUGUUGCAGCAGCCUUCAUAACCACUCCCUUUGUGCCAUCAACAGGUUGCGAUUGGGUUGCCAGGUCGAACCCCGGUUCCUGGCUGAUUGUUCGUCCGGAUGUUUGCAUACCUGAAAGUUGGCAGCCAUGGGGAAAGCUCGAGGCAUGGCGUGAGCGUGGGAUUAGAGACACUGUUUGCUGUCGCUUUCACCUUCUCUCCGAAGCCCAAGAGGGAGGGGAACUUCUCAUGUCUGAG